This 382-nucleotide ribosomal RNA is filed under the name Ischnura saharensis. RNAcentral describes it as "partial large subunit ribosomal RNA". The stretch from base 1 to 184 matches the Rfam family "Archaeal large subunit ribosomal RNA", at positions 1908 to 2143 of the family's 2987-position model. Lineage: Eukaryota; Metazoa; Arthropoda; Insecta; Odonata; Coenagrionidae. The record is from RNAcentral.
GUCCUAUUGUAUUAUUUAAUAGGUCUGGCCUGCCCAGUGAUAAUUUCAACGGCCGCGGUAUAUUGACCGUGCAAAGGUAGCAUAAUCAUUAGUCUUUUAAUAGGAGGCUGGAAUGAAAGGUUUAACGAGAAAUUGACUGUCUCAAUUGCAAUCUUGAAUUUAUCUUUUGAGUCAAAAGACUUAAAUAUAAUUGGUGGACGAGAAGACCCUAUAGAGCUUGACAAUUAUUUUUUUUAUAUUUACUUAGACUGAAAUUAUUUAUUUAUAUUAAAAAAAUUGUUUUGUUGGGGUGACAAUAAAUAUAUAUUUAACUUUUAUCAUAGUAUUAACAUUAAUUUAUGACUUUUGGAUCCAAAAAUUUUGAUCAUUACACUAACUUACC